GACGAACGCUGGCGGCGUGCUUAACACAUGCAAGUCGAACGAGAAUCUGUGGAAAGAGGAUUCGUCCAAUUGAAGCAGAGGACAGUGGCGGACGGGUGAGUAACGCGUGAGGAACCUGCCUUUCAGAGGGGGACAACAGUUGGAAACGACUGCUAAUACCGCAUAACAUAUAGAUGUCGCAUGGCAUUUAUAUCAAAGAUUUAUCGCUGAAAGAUGGCCUCGCGUCUGAUUAGCUAGUUGGUGAGGUAACGGCCCACCAAGGCGACGAUCAGUAGCCGGACUGAGAGGUUGAACGGCCACAUUGGGACUGAGAUACGGCCCAGACUCCUACGGGAGGCAGCAGUGGGAAUAUUGGGCAAUGGGCGCAAGCCUGACCCAGCAACGCCGCGUGAAGGAAGAAGGCUUUCGGGUGUAAACUUCUUUGUCAGGGACGAGUAGAAGACGGUACCUGACGAAUAAGCCACGGCUAACUACGUGCCAGCAGCCG
This 487-nucleotide ribosomal RNA is filed under the name uncultured bacterium. Its description in RNAcentral is "bacterial SSU rRNA". It matches the Rfam family "Bacterial small subunit ribosomal RNA", at positions 28 to 517 of the family's 1533-position model. The record is from RNAcentral.